This 166-nucleotide ribosomal RNA is filed under the name Psychotria sp. 2 LB-2013. RNAcentral's name for it is "5.8S ribosomal RNA". The stretch from base 1 to 83 matches the Rfam family "5.8S ribosomal RNA", at positions 74 to 154 of the family's 154-position model. From Rfam's summary of the family: 5.8S ribosomal RNA (5.8S rRNA) is a component of the large subunit of the eukaryotic ribosome. It is transcribed by RNA polymerase I as part of the 45S precursor that also contains 18S and 28S rRNA. The record is from RNAcentral. Lineage: Eukaryota; Viridiplantae; Streptophyta; Magnoliopsida; Gentianales; Rubiaceae.
GCAGAAUCCCGUGAACCAUCGAGUUUUUGAACGCAAGUUGCGCCCGAAGCCACUAGGCUGAGGGCACGUCUGUCUGGGCGUCACGCAUCCAGUCGCCACCCCCCUCUCGACGUUAACGUUACGGAGGGGAGUGACGGAUGUUGGCCUCCCGUGUCUUCGAGGCGCG